Molecule: unclassified non-coding RNA, 344 nt
Filed under: plant metagenome
Description: partial contains small subunit ribosomal RNA, internal transcribed spacer 1, and 5.8S ribosomal RNA
Source: RNAcentral
UUUCCGUCGGUGAACCUGCGGAAGGAUCACUAAUAGGAUUGAGUGUGAGUGAGGGAUGGGGGAGUGUAUGGGGGGGAUGUUGGUGGAGGUGGAUAUGUGAGUGGUAAAAUAAAAGUGAUAGUAUGAAAGUGAUAGUAUGAAAGUGAUAGUAUAAAGGUGAUAGUAUAAAAGUACUAGCAUGUUUGUAUCAUCACUCCCAUUUUACCAUCAACAUGUUAUCACUAACACACUACCAUCCAUCACCAUCCCCAUGACACACCCAUCUGCCUUUCACCAGCUUGAUUGUCUGACUGUAUGUGAUGAAUGAAGAAUGACAACUUUUAACAAUGGAUCUCUUGGCUCUU